This 267-nucleotide ribosomal RNA is filed under the name Mannheimia haemolytica. RNAcentral's name for it is "partial 16S ribosomal RNA". It matches the Rfam family "Bacterial small subunit ribosomal RNA", at positions 457 to 730 of the family's 1533-position model. Lineage: Bacteria; Pseudomonadati; Pseudomonadota; Gammaproteobacteria; Pasteurellales; Pasteurellaceae. The record is from RNAcentral.
AAUUACGACAUACGGAGUCCAGACAGCAACAAAGGCCGUGUAACUCCGGCCAGCAGCCGCGGUAUACGGGGGGUGCGAGCGCAAAUCGGAAUAACUGGGCGUAAAGGGCACGCAGGCGGUUGUUUGAGUGAGGUGUGAAAGCCCCGGGCUUAAACUGGGAAUUGCAUUUCAGACUGAACAACUAGAGUACUUUAGGGAGGGGUAGAAUUCCACGUGUAGCGGUGAAAUGCGUAGAGAUGUGGAGGAAUACCGAAGGCGCAGCCCUUU